AUUUCUCCGGUGACUUCCUAGACAAAAGUCUAAUACAGUUCACAUGUCUUGAAAUAAUAGAGAGAGAGCUGCAGGAUGUUGUUCACCUCUGGAACACACACAGAAUUCGCCCAUCCAGAAAUGCUGUGUCCCCAUGUGGACGUCCAGUGAUGAUGUACACCCUACCCCAACUUUUUGGUGCUAGGGAGUACCUUAAAGAGGCAUCCCAACAGAAGAUACAGGCUUGUAGGGAGGAAUGUCGUGAGAGAGGACCAUAUCCUUGUGAUAAUACAGUGUUUGACAUUUGUUGCCUUGCCAUGGCAGAAAACAGUCUUCAUCCACCAACCUCUCCAGAGGAAGCCAUUGAUCUUUACAUGUUCUUACGUGCUUACAUACGUACCCAAAUUUAAUAAUCACAAGUUGUUCUACUGGAUCAAAUGACUGAAUGUGAGCACCCACUCAUAGCCAAAAAAACAACAGAAUUGCCGUUUGGACGGAAAAGGAUAUAUACCAUGACAUUCACUGUAAAUGUUUGACAGAAGUACUGUGUUUAAGCAAUCGAUAAUAGACAACUCUUUCAUAAUGGACAUCUCCCAACUGAGCUCCAUAUCAUCUCUUUUUAUUCAUCAUUAUGUAAAAAGUACAUCUCAUCAACAGAACUGGGAAAAAUCCUGUACCUGCAAAUGAAAGGUAUCACAUGUUGCCAUUGUCAAAAAUGGCACAUUUGUCCUUAUGGUGGAACUAUUUCGCAUCACCAGAUGUGGUCUGACACACUUUGGGCUCAUUGUAAACAGGGCAACCUACAUGAUGUUUGGAUGGCUUUUAAAUCAAACAUAUUAUUGUAUCUUGUUAUCAUGUGUCUCUGGGCUGCACAUAAAGCACUUUUUUACACAAUUAUUUGGCAUCAUAUAAAUACAUGCUAAACCAGUAAAACAUUUUUUCUCCCCAGUGUGAUUUACUGUGUAUGUAGGAAAUAGACCUAUUUGUUAAUGUAGAGAUGACUGUUUAAAUAUGUUGUCUAAAGAGUACUGGUGAAUGCAGGAACUGCAGUGCAGUUGUCAAAACUCAGUAAUUCUAUUGUGUGAGACAAAAUUUGUGUGUUAUCUGCAGUAAAGACCCGAUUUGUUUGAAAACAUCUGUACAAAACGAGAGAAACCUGUGCUUUUUAUUUGUAAAAAGCAGAACACCUUCUAAUGUACAGUGCUGUAUGUUAGAACAGAUUUCCAAACACUGGCAAAAUUUAGAUUUAACAUGAGCUGACAUUACCCCAGGGUCCAAGUUAAAAUGCAACUUUACAAGAACAUUUCUUUUAAAUUGUCCCAAAAAGUAUGCUCCUAAACUGCUAACAGAAAUGAUGGCUUACAUAAAAGUACAUAAAAAUACUGGUACAUGUAUCUAAAUCACUUAAAAAUGAAAACCACAUGCAUUUAUAACAUACAUUGUGUAAAAGGCUUAUAAUUGUUUUUUGGUUAAAUGGACCUUAAAGUAUACUAACAAAAUGUUCAGCCACUCAAUAUGUUUCUACAGACAGUUUAAGUCUGGUAAUAACAGCAACUGCAUAUGAAACGUUGCAAAACAUGUUGCCAUUGUCAAAAUGGCAAAAUUGGUCCUCAUGGUGGAACUAUUCAGCAUGACCAAAUGUGAUUUGACACACUUUGGGCCCACUGCAAACAGGGCAACCUAAAUGGCAUUUAAAUGGUCCAGUAUCAUUAUCAAUAAAUCAAACUGAUUAUUGAAUCUUA
Tachysurus vachellii is the source of this 1721-nucleotide long non-coding RNA. RefSeq lists it as uncharacterized. The transcript is spliced from 2 exons. The record is from RefSeq and is a predicted model, not a curated record. Lineage: Eukaryota; Metazoa; Chordata; Actinopteri; Siluriformes; Bagridae.